ACGCACGCUGGCGGCGUGCUUAACACAUGCAGGUCGAACGAGAGCGUAGAGAAAGCUUGCUUUUUCUACAAUCUAGUGGCAAACGGGUGAGUAACGCGUAAACAACCUGCCCUACGGAUGGGGACAACAGCUGGAAACGGCUGCUAAUACCGAAUACGUUCCGAAAGUCGCAUGACUAUCGGAAGAAAGGAUGGCCUCUAUUUAUAAGCUAUCGCCGGAGGAGGGGUUUGCGUCUGAUUAGCUAGUUGGAGGGGUAACGGCCCACCAAGGCGACGAUCAGUAGCCGGUCUGAGAGGAUGAACGGCCACAUUGGAACUGAGACACGGUCCAGACUCCUACGGGAGGCAGCAGUGGGGAAUCUUCCGCAAUGGGCGAAAGCCUGACGGAGCAACGCCGCGUGAGUGAAGACGGCCUUCGGGUUGUAAAGCUCUGUUAUACGGGACGAAUAAUCUUGUGGUUAAUACCCAUGAGAAGUGACGGUACCGUAAGAGAAAGCCACGGCUAACUACGUG
RNAcentral lists this ribosomal RNA (512 nucleotides) under uncultured bacterium. Its description in RNAcentral is "partial 16S ribosomal RNA". It matches the Rfam family "Bacterial small subunit ribosomal RNA", at positions 29 to 507 of the family's 1533-position model. The record is from RNAcentral.